GCUAUACAUGCACCUCGAGCGGACAGAUGGGAGCUUGCUUCCUGAUGUUAGCGGCGGCCGGGUGAGUAACACGUGGGUAACCUGCCUGUAAGACUGGGAUAACUCCGGGAAACCGGGGCUAAUACCGGAUGGUUGUCUGAACCGCAUGGUUCAGACAUAAAAGGUGGCUUCGGCUACCACUUACAGAUGGACCCGCGGCGCAUUAGCUAGUUGGUGAGGUAACGGCUCACCAAGGCGACGAUGCGUAGCCGACCUGAGAGGGUGAUCGGCCACACUGGGACUGAGACACGGCCCAGACUCCUACGGGAGG
This 310-nucleotide ribosomal RNA is filed under the name Bacillus amyloliquefaciens. Its description in RNAcentral is "bacterial SSU rRNA". It matches the Rfam family "Bacterial small subunit ribosomal RNA", at positions 50 to 348 of the family's 1533-position model. Lineage: Bacteria; Bacillati; Bacillota; Bacilli; Caryophanales; Bacillaceae. The record is from RNAcentral.